GAUGAACGCUGGCGGCGUGCUUAACACAUGCAAGUCGAACGGAACGCCAAGGAAGAGUUUCGACGAAUGGAAUGGUGUUAGUGGCGACGGUGAGUAACGCGUGAGUAACCUGCCUUGGAGUGGGGAAUAACACAGUGAAAAUUGUGCUAAUACCGCAUGAUAUAUUGGUGUCGCAUGGCACUGAUAUCAAAGAUUUAUCGCUCUGAGAUGGACUCGCGUCUGAUUAGAUAGUUGGCGGGUAACGGCCCACCAAGUCGACGAUCAGUAGCCGGACUGAGA
Molecule: ribosomal RNA, 279 nt
Filed under: uncultured bacterium
Lineage: Bacteria
Description: partial 16S ribosomal RNA
Rfam family: Bacterial small subunit ribosomal RNA
Source: RNAcentral